Long non-coding RNA from Gambusia affinis (western mosquitofish), 697 nucleotides. RefSeq lists it as uncharacterized. Lineage: Eukaryota; Metazoa; Chordata; Actinopteri; Cyprinodontiformes; Poeciliidae. The record is from RefSeq and is a predicted model, not a curated record. The transcript is spliced from 4 exons.
AGUCCGUGACGUCACUUCCUCCUUCACCAGCCCAUUCCUGGACGCCAUGGAAGAAGUGUUGGACCUACGAGUGAGCUAGCCUAGCCGACCGCUAUUCACGUCAUUUCUUUGCUGUGGGCAGGUGGACUGAUGUCUGCUGAAUGUUUUCAUCAAACUCAAUAACUUCCAUUCUAUACAGCAUCAUGGAAGAGUUGAUGCCCAUCUCCUGCGCUCAUUGACUGAGGUACAGGAUGCACCCUUGACAGGCGGAGACCCAAGGUCAGUGGAGGUCUGACGGGACGUUGAUGAAUGGAUGUGACGGGUGUCAUCCUGGAUAAACAGCGCCCGGGCCCACAUGCUGCUACAUCCUGAAAAAUACGUCUGUUCCACCAGCAGCCCAGGGAAAUAGUUUGGAGGUUUCACACAUCCUUUCGAUAGCUCACUCUGUCUUUCUCUCUGCGUGGAGCGUACAUCAUUCCCCGUGUACGAAAAGAAAAUAAAGAAAAUAACACAUACCCAUCUUAUAGUCCGAACCACACAAACACACAUGCGUUACGCUGACACCGAAGGGUAAUAUCUGAUACAUGACACAGAGAGCACACUCCAUUUCCCAGUAAAGGUCACUGUUUUUUUGACAAACUGUAUCCGCUAACAUUCGUGCCUUCCAUGCACUGUUACGGCCAAAUAAAUGCGUCUGUCUCUGCCGGCUAAUCUCCGA